UACGGAGGGGGCAAGCGUUAUCCGGAUUCACUGGGUUUAAAGGGUGCGUAGGCGGGCAGGUAAGUCCGCGGUGAAAUCCUGGGGCUUAACCCCAGAACUGCCGUUGAUACUAUCUGUCUUGAAUAUUGUGGAGGUGAGCGGAAUAUGUCAUGUAGCGGUGAAAUGCUUAGAUAUGACAUAGAACACCAAUUGCGAAGGCAGCUCACUACGCAGUUAUUGACGCUGAGGCACGAAAGCGUGGGGAUCAAACAGG
Molecule: ribosomal RNA, 253 nt
Filed under: uncultured bacterium
Lineage: Bacteria
Description: partial 16S ribosomal RNA
Rfam family: Bacterial small subunit ribosomal RNA
Source: RNAcentral